RNAcentral lists this ribosomal RNA (836 nucleotides) under uncultured archaeon. RNAcentral's name for it is "bacterial SSU rRNA". It matches the Rfam family "Archaeal small subunit ribosomal RNA", at positions 85 to 922 of the family's 1478-position model. The record is from RNAcentral.
ACGGCUCAGUAACACGUGGACAACCUGCCCUUAGGUUGGGUAUAAACCCGGGAAACUGGGUAUAAUACCCGAUAGGUCUCGAUUGCUGGAAUGCAUCGAGAUUUAAAGCUCCGGCGCCUAAGGAUGGGUCUGCGGCCUAUCAGGUAGUAGUGGGUGUAGCGUACCUACUAGCCUACGACGGGUACGGGUUGUGAGAGCAAGAGCCCGGAGAUGGAUUCUGAGACACGAAUCCAGGCCCUACGGGGUGCAGCAGGCGCGAAAACUUUACAAUGCUGGCAACAGCGAUAAGGGAACCUCGAGUGCCAGGUUACAAAUCUGGCUGUCGAGAUGCCUAAAAAGCAUUUCAUAGCAAGGGCCGGGCAAGACCGGUGCCAGCCGCCGCGGUAACACCGGCGGCUCGAGUGGUAACCGUUAUUAUUGGGUCUAAAGGGUCUGUAGCCGGCCGGAUAAGUCUCUUGAGAAAUCUGGCAGCUUAACUGUCAGGCUUUCAGGAGAUACUGUCUGGCUCGAGGCCGGGAGAGGUGAGAGGUACUUCAGGGGUAGGGGUGAAAUCUUGUAAUCCUUGAAGGACCACCAGUGGCGAAGGCGUCUCACCAGAACGGACCUGACGGCAAGGGACGAAAGCUAGGGGCACGAACCGGAUUAGAUACCCGGGUAGUCCUAGCCGUAAACGAUACUCGCUAGGUGUCGGCCACGGUGCGACCGUUGUCGGUGCCGUAGGGAAGCCGUGAAGCGAGCCACCUGGGAAGUACGGCCGCAAGGCUGAAACUUAAAGGAAUUGGCGGGGGAGCACCACAACGGGUGGAGCUUGCGGUUUAAUUGGAGUCAACGCCGGA